AUGGAAAGUAUUCAAGACCUGAUAAGUAAGAUUUCCCAUCGAUUAGAUGAUUUAGCUCGACAGCGAGAAGUAGUUUUUGAGGAUAGGCCUAGCUCUUGUGAUCCUUAUUCUAGAGGCCAUCCUUAUGUUGCUCCUACCUGCCAUAUUUGUGGAUUUCAGGGCCAUUCACCCGCUGAAUGUCAGUGUGGUUACUCUCACCCUCCCGAUUGUUAUGGCAUGAGCUUCGCCCCACAGCCUAGCUCAUACCAAAACAAUUACUCAUAUGGGUGGCCUGAAAACCAGAAUAUGUCAUAUAGGAACAACAACCCUGAGAUUUCACCGUUUGCUUCUAGUAAUCAUAUGCAGGGAUUUAGGUAUGAAGAGGAGAGCAACAAUUAUGCUCCACAACAAUUUUAUUCUGCUCCUAUUCAUAUACCUCAGCACCAGGAGAUGUUGCCAAUGGAGUUAAAUGGUCCUCCAUUUGGUCAACCGGCAACUGCUGAGCAAUCUCGUGUGCAAGUGCCCACACAAGAUGAAUUUGAUGAUAUAGACAAGCUCACAUUGCUUAGUCUCGAGUUCACUUGGAGUGCUAAAGAUGAUCCAAUUAGGCCGGUGAUACUAGAGGAAAUGAAGAAGAUCAAGAGUGGAAAGGAGCUAGUGGAAGAAGUAAGGAAGAUUGAGAAGAACAUCAACGCUGGCAGUACUAUCUCUUCCCUCCUUGAGCUGAGUGUUGCUGGGAUAUCCCUUGAGGUGUGUGAGGUUCGAACACCUUCACAUUCAGCUGAGCAAGAUAGCAAGAGUCCAUAG
RNAcentral lists this ribosomal RNA (786 nucleotides) under Triticum aestivum (bread wheat). Its description in RNAcentral is "partial small subunit ribosomal RNA". The record is from RNAcentral. Lineage: Eukaryota; Viridiplantae; Streptophyta; Magnoliopsida; Poales; Poaceae.